AUACGUAGGUGACAAGCGUUAUCCGGAUUUACUGGGCGUAAAGGGCGUGUAGGCGGUCUUGCAAGUCAGAAGUGAAAUUCCUGAGCUCAACUCGGGCGCUGCUUCUGAAACUGCAGGACUUGAGUGCUGGAGGGGAUAGCGGAAUUCCUAGUGGAGCGGUAAAAUGCGCAGAUAUUAGGGAGAACACCGGUGGCGAAGGCGGCUAUCUGGACAGUAACUGACGCUGAGGCGCGAAAGCGGGGGGAGCAAACAGGAUUAGUUACCCUGGUAGUCCACGCUGUAAACGAUGAAUACUAGGUGUAGGGGGUAUCGACUCCCUCUGUGCCGCAGUUAACACAAUAAGUAUUCCGCCUGGGGAGUACGGCCGCAAGGUUGAAACUCAAAGGAAUUGACGGGG
This 397-nucleotide ribosomal RNA is filed under the name uncultured bacterium. RNAcentral's name for it is "partial 16S ribosomal RNA". It matches the Rfam family "Bacterial small subunit ribosomal RNA", at positions 523 to 918 of the family's 1533-position model. The record is from RNAcentral.